GACGAACCGAGCGAACGUUGUUCGGAAUAACUGGGCUUAAAGGGCGCGUAGGCGGGCCGCCAAGUUCGAGGUGAAAUCCUCCGGCUCAACCGGAGAACUGCCUCGAAUACUGGAGGCCUCGAGGCGGGUAGGGGCAUGCGGAACUGUGGGUGGAGCGGUGAAAUGCGUUGAUAUGACAUAGAACACCAAUUGCGUAGGCAGCUCACUACGGAAAUAUUGACGCUGAGGCACGAAAGCGUGAGGAUCAAACAGG
This 253-nucleotide ribosomal RNA is filed under the name uncultured bacterium. RNAcentral's name for it is "partial 16S ribosomal RNA". It matches the Rfam family "Bacterial small subunit ribosomal RNA", at positions 524 to 776 of the family's 1533-position model. The record is from RNAcentral.